This 274-nucleotide ribosomal RNA is filed under the name Paenibacillus sp. ISO8_OTU8029. RNAcentral describes it as "partial 16S ribosomal RNA". It matches the Rfam family "Bacterial small subunit ribosomal RNA", at positions 29 to 289 of the family's 1533-position model. Lineage: Bacteria; Bacillati; Bacillota; Bacilli; Caryophanales; Paenibacillaceae. The record is from RNAcentral.
ACGAACGCUGGCGGCAUGCCUAAUACAUGCAAGUCGAGCGGAGUUGAUAGGAAGCUUGCUUCCUUGAUACUUAGCGGCGGACGGGUGAGUAACACGUAGGCAACCUGCCCUCAAGUUUGGGACAACUACCGGAAACGGUAGCUAAUACCGAAUAAUUGUUUUCUUCGCCUGAAGGAAACUGGAAAGACGGAGCAAUCUGUCACUUGGGGAUGGGCCUGCGGCGCAUUAGCUAGUUGGUGAGGUAACGGCUCACCAAGGCGACGAUGCGUAGCCG